ACGCUCGACACCUACGGGAAGCAGCAGUUGGGAAUAUUGGACAAUGGAGGGAACUCUGAUCCAGUGACGCCGCGUGAAGGAAGAAGGUCUUCGGAUUGUAAACUUAUUUUAUCAGGGAAGAAAGAAAUGACAGUACCUGAAGAAGAAGGACCGGCUAACUACGUGCCAACAGCCGCGGUAAUCUGAGCGGGCUGGCAAGGC
This 201-nucleotide ribosomal RNA is filed under the name uncultured bacterium. RNAcentral describes it as "partial 16S ribosomal RNA". It matches the Rfam family "Bacterial small subunit ribosomal RNA", at positions 326 to 537 of the family's 1533-position model. The record is from RNAcentral.